This 670-nucleotide ribosomal RNA is filed under the name Butyricimonas faecihominis. Its description in RNAcentral is "partial 23S ribosomal RNA". It matches the Rfam family "Bacterial large subunit ribosomal RNA", at positions 1 to 683 of the family's 2925-position model. Lineage: Bacteria; Pseudomonadati; Bacteroidota; Bacteroidia; Bacteroidales; Odoribacteraceae. The record is from RNAcentral.
ACGUGAACAAUUAAGGGCGCGCGGUGGAUGCCUAGGCUCUCGGAGGCGAUGAAGGACGCGAUAAGCCGCGAUAGGCCACGGCGAGGUGCAAGUAACCCUUGACCCGUGGAUUUCCGAAUGGGGCAACCCGGCCGUCUAGAUGACGGUCAUGCAUUAAUGCAGGCGAACGCGGGGAACUGAAACAUCUCAUUACCCGCAGGAGAAGAAAACAAAAUGUGAUUCCCCCAGUAGUGGCGAGCGAACGGGGAAGAGCCCAAACCGUUGCCGUUUCGGCGACAGCGGGGUCAUGGGACCGCGACAUUCGACGGAAGACGAAGUGCAAUUACCUGGAAAGGUAAGCCGUGGAGGGUGACAGCCCCGUGCACGACACCUCUUUCGAAGAUAGCGGGAUCCCGAGUAGGGCGGGACACGAGAAAUCCUGCCUGAAUUCGCCAGGACCUCCUGGCAAGGCUAAAUACUCCCGAGAGACCGAUAGUGAACCAGUACCGCGAGGGAAAGGUGAAAAGUACCCCGAGCAGGGGGGUGAAAUAGACCCUGAACCCGCGCGCCUACAAGCGGUCGGAGCCGGGUAAUCCGGUGACGGCGUGCCUUUUGCAUAAUGAGCCUACGAGUUAGUCGUCACCAGCGAGGUUAAGGGCUUCAGGCCCGUUAGCCGAAGUGAAAGCGAGCC